RNAcentral lists this ribosomal RNA (282 nucleotides) under uncultured Enterobacterales bacterium. RNAcentral's name for it is "partial 16S ribosomal RNA". It matches the Rfam family "Bacterial small subunit ribosomal RNA", at positions 504 to 785 of the family's 1533-position model. Lineage: Bacteria; Pseudomonadati; Pseudomonadota; Gammaproteobacteria; Enterobacterales. The record is from RNAcentral.
UGUGCCAGCAGCCGCGGUAAUACGGAGGGUGCAAGCGUUAAUCGGAAUUACUGGGCGUAAAGCGCACGCAGGCGGUUUGUUAAGUCAGAUGUGAAAUCCCCGGGCUCAACCUGGGAACUGCAUCUGAUACUGGCAAGCUUGAGUCUCGUAGAGGGGGGUAGAAUUCCAGGUGUAGCGGUGAAAUGCGUAGAGAUCUGGAGGAAUACCGGUGGCGAAGGCGGCCCCCUGGACGAAGACUGACGCUCAGGUGCGAAAGCGUGGGGAGCAAACAGGAUUAGAUAC